This 429-nucleotide ribosomal RNA is filed under the name Gemmatimonadota bacterium. RNAcentral's name for it is "Gemmatimonadetes bacterium partial 16S ribosomal RNA". It matches the Rfam family "Bacterial small subunit ribosomal RNA", at positions 355 to 776 of the family's 1533-position model. Lineage: Bacteria; Pseudomonadati; Gemmatimonadota. The record is from RNAcentral.
UAGGGAAUCUUCGGCAAUGGACGAAAGUCUGACCGAGCAACGCCGCGCGAGUGAAGAAGGUUUUCGGAUCGUAAAACUCUGUUGUUAGAGAAGAACAAGGACGUUUGUAACUGAACGUCCCCUGACGGUAUCUAACCAGAAAGCCACGGCUAACUACGUGCCAGCAGCCGCGGUAAUACGUAGGUGGCAAGCGUUGUCCGGAUUUAUUGGGCGUAAAGCGAGCGCAGGCGGUUUCUUAAGUCUGAUGUGAAAGCCCCCGGCUCAACCGGGGAGGGUCAUUGGAAACUGGGAGACGUGAGUGCAGAAGAGGAGAGUGGAAUUCCAUGUGUAGCGGUGAAAUGCGUAGAUAUAUGGAGGAACACCAGUGGCGAAGGCGGCUCUCUGGUCUGUAACUGACGCUGAGGCUCGAAAGCGUGGGGAGCAAACAGG